GAACUCGCUGUGAAGAUGCAGUGUACCCGCGGCAAGACGGAAAGACCCCGUGAACCUUUACUAUAGCUUGACACUGAACAUUGAGCCUUGAUGUGUAGGAUAGGUGGGAGGCUUUGAAGUGUGGACGCCAGUCUGCAUGGAGCCGGCCUUGAAAUACCACCCUUUAAUGUUUGAUGUUCUAACGUUGGCCCCUGAUCGGGGUUGCGGACAGUGUCUGGUGGGUAGUUUGACUGGGGCGGUCUCCUCCUAAAGAGUAACGGAGGAGCACGAAGGUUGGCUAAUCCUGGUCGGACAUCAGGAGGUUAGUGCAAUGGCAUAAGCCAGCUUGACUGCGAGCGUGACGGCGCGAGCAGGUGCGAAAGCAGGUCAUAGUGAUCCGGUGGUUCUGAAUGGAAGGGCCAUCGCUCAACGGAUAAAAGGUACUCCGGGGAUAACAGGCUGAUACCGCCCAAGAGUUCAUAUCGACGGCGGUGUUUGGCACCUCGAUGUCGGCUCAUCACAUCCUGGGGCUGAAGUAGGUCCCAAGGGUAUGGCUGUUCGCCAUUUAAAGUGGUACGCGAGCUGGGUUUAGAACGUCGUGAGACAGUUCGGUCCCUAUCUGCCGUGGGCGCUGGAGAACUGAGGGGGGCUGCUCCUAGUACGAGAGGACCGGAGUGGACGCAUCACUGGUGUUCGGGUUGUCAUGCCAAUGGCACUGCCCGGUAGCUAAAUGCGGAAGAGAUAAGUGCUGAAAGCAUCUAAGCACGAAACUUGCCCCGAGAUGAGUUCUCCCUGACUCCUUGAGAGUCCUGAAGGAACGUUGAAGACGACGACGUUGAUAGGCCGGGUGUGUAAGCGCAGCGAUGCGUUGAGCUAACCGGUACUAAUGAACCGUGAGGCUUAACCUUACAAC
This 892-nucleotide ribosomal RNA is filed under the name Escherichia coli. RNAcentral's name for it is "partial 23S ribosomal RNA". It matches the Rfam family "Bacterial large subunit ribosomal RNA", at positions 2044 to 2925 of the family's 2925-position model. The record is from RNAcentral. Lineage: Bacteria; Pseudomonadati; Pseudomonadota; Gammaproteobacteria; Enterobacterales; Enterobacteriaceae.